AGAGGAAUACUGCAUUGCUGAACAAUAUACAAAGUGAUGGAUCAUUUGUGAAGGGUUGGAUAUUGAAUUAAAGGUAGAAAAGGAAAGAGAGGAGGACGCUCCCUCAAAAGGGUAGAGUAGAAAAAGGUUCACCUGUGACCAAAUCAUUCAGGGACAGCUGUGCAUCAUCACCUCGUUAAGCACUGAUAGGUCAGCUGGGGGCUGGCAACAUUUAAAAACCCUCCACAUAGAUUUGGUCUGCAGUGGAGUCGUCCCAUUGUAAUUAUGACAGCAAUCCUCUUUACAUGGGUCUUCCUCCAAGCUAUCCUGCUUUGGGAUAUCGAAUGUAGCCCUAUUAAAAAAGGGUUUGCCCCACAAUAUAAAGGCGGGUAUUCUCAAGAUCCGUGGGGGGCCCAACCCAAAGAGCAGCUGUACCCCAGCCAUGAAACCUCUGGCUCCAUGUCUGGACCCGGUGCACAGGGUUUGUCCUCGGGGGCGCUGCCUUCUCCUCCCCCUACAGGAUUCAACGGAGGCUAUUCUUCCCCAACGGGCUCAUCUCGAGGCUCCUGGGCAAUUCCUCCACGCACGUUCUCUGGUGGGUCAAGAGCCGCUUCUGACGGUCACGCUGGCCCCAAGGGACAAAUGGCCGGCCCCAGAAGUGCACCCCCACCUGGACCAGAGUUCAUCCCAGGAGAGCUGCUCAACAUCGAGAGCACAAUGGAGGACGGACACUAUGAGUCUGAGACCCAGGAACGCGGUGUACCCCCACCGCCAUCGUAUGAAGCUGCUGUAGGUCAGGCUGAGGCCUUCCCCAGCCCUGCAGCCCUUAUGCCCCAGGCUUCAUUAGGGUAUUUCUACCCUUACGAUGCGAUGUUCAUCACUGGCCAGUAUCCUCCGGGAACCUACACCCAGUCCAGCAGUAGUGUUGAGCGUGGCAGAGAUGACUGGCAGGAAAACCGUUACAUCCGAUAUGACUACCCUGCCAAGAACCAGGAACAGCAGAUGCAGAGUUACUCACAAUACUCGGAUCAGAGCUACCAGCCGGCUGAGCCAGAAGGACCUGGAAAAGGCCAGGAUGUGGAGCAGCAGUUCCAGGCCUAUGAAGGUCAAUGGGUAGGCUGAGACCACCAGAUGUGGAGCCUGGCUGGGACAAUGGGAUUCCAUGUAGGGUUCAAGAACUUCUUUCUCCGUAGAUGCAAUGUCUUUCUGGUGGUGGAAACUUCAUGCAUUUGAUUUGAUGGUCAAUAAAGUUACAAAUUCUACAUCAGAAGGCCCCUUUUUUUCAUAUAUUUGUGCUGCGAACUACAAGCUUAUGCCUCGCUAUAUGCACAUUUUAUGCGUCUGAAAUAAUAAUUUUGGCUGGGGGCUUCGAAUUAUAAUAUUGGUGGCUAAUAUUGGAGUCGUCUUCCCUAUAAAAUGCCUCCAUUGGUGAUUCUGUCUACCUGGGACUUGCAGCGUGAAAUGUCUGAACUAGCAUUAAAGAGGCUGCAGUAGCGGUUGGUGUAAAUUGGCGUGGCGACUAUCUGGUGUGUGUGGGUAACGAGGGCUGAUUUGACUUCGGAGACCUUUUGUGGUUGUGAAACGCUCAAUUGCAACAUAAAACUAAUCAUUUUAACUGGCACAGUUUUCUUUUGAAAAGGCAUUUGUUCUUUGACUCGGGGAGAAAAUGCAAUAUCAAAAUAUUGUCAGACGUUAACUGCCGCUAGGCAACUUGUUUGCAACUCGUGAAUGCCGGGGCUGGCACUGUACUUGCGGGAGCAAGACGUUGACACUAAUCUUCAAAUAAAAUUAUCUUUUAAAUCAUAACGCAUCACUAAUUUAUUUUUCUUUCAU
Gadus morhua (Atlantic cod) is the source of this 1812-nucleotide long non-coding RNA. NCBI's taxonomy places the organism in Eukaryota, Metazoa, Chordata, Actinopteri, Gadiformes, Gadidae. The record is from Ensembl.